RNAcentral lists this ribosomal RNA (1338 nucleotides) under metagenome. Its description in RNAcentral is "bacterial LSU rRNA". It matches the Rfam family "Bacterial large subunit ribosomal RNA", at positions 1569 to 2915 of the family's 2925-position model. The record is from RNAcentral.
CUAUUUGAUGGUUCGCCGUUGAGUAGCUAGUGAUGUCAUACUUCCAAGAAAAGCUCAUGCAUCUUUAUCAUUUAAUUACCUGUACCUGAAACCGACACAGGUAGGUUGGUAGAGAAUACUAAGGGGCGCGAGAGAACUCUCUCUAAGGAACUCGGCAAACUGGCCCCGUAACUUCGGAAGAAGGGGCACUUACUUUUAACAAGUAAGUCGCAGUGACCAGGCCCAGGCGACUGUUUACCAAAAACACAGGUCUCCGCAAAGUCGUAAGACAAUAUAUGGGGGCUGACGCCUGCCCAGUGCCGGAAGGUUAAGGAAGUUGGUUACAAAUUUAUUUGGAAGCUGACGACCGAAGCCCCGGUGAACGGCGGUCGUAACAAUAACGAUCCUAAGGUAGCGAAAUUCAUUGUCGAGUAAGUUUCGACCUGCACGAAAGGCGUAACGAUCUGGGCGCUGUCUCGGAGAGAGGCUCGGUGAAAUAGACUUGUCCCGUGAAGAUGCGGACUACCUGCACCUGGACAGAAAGACCCUAUGAAGCUUGACUGUAUCUUGGAAUUGGGUUUGGGCUUUUCUUGCGCAGCCUAGGUGGGAGGCUAUGAAAAUUACCUUCUGGGGUAAUUCGAGCCGUCAGUGAGAGACCACUCUGGAAGAGCUAGAAUCCUAAUGGGGAUCCUUGAAUCAGGACCCUUGACAGUUUCAGGUGGGCAGUUUAUUUGGGGCGAAUGCCUCCUAAAAGGUAACGGAGGCGUGCAAAGGUUCCCUCAGUCUGGACGGAAAUCAGACAUUGAGUGUAAAGGCAAAAGGGAGCUUGACUGCAAGACCUACAAGUCGAGCAGGGGCGAAAGCCGGCCUUAGUGAUCCGACGGUGCCGUGUGGAAGGGCCGUCGCUCAACGGAUAAAAGUUACUCUAAGGAUAACAGGCUGAUCUUCCCCAAGAGUUCACAUCGACGGGAAGGUUUGGCACCUCGAUGUCGGCUCAUCACAUCCUCGGUCUGUACUAGGUCCGAAGGGUUGGGCUGUUCGCCCAUUAAAGUGGUACGUGAGCUGGGUUCAAAACGUCGUGAGACAGUUUGGUCCAUAUCCGGUGUAGGCGUUAGAGCAUUGAGAGUAGCCUUUCAUAGUACGAGAGGACCUGAAAGGACAUGCCAAUUGUGUACCAGUUCUCAUUCCAAUGGGGAACGCUGGGUAGCUACGCAUGGAUAGAUAACUGCUGAAAGCAUCUAAGUAGGAAGCUAAACUCAAGAUGAGUGCUCUCUAAGGCCGCGGCUAGACAAGCCGUUAUAUAGGUAUCAGGUGUACAGUCAGCGAUGGCUUUAGCCGAGAUAUACUAAAGGCCAUCUG